AAAUGUGAGAAGGAGGCGUGUUUCUCUUCUAAAUAGAAGACCACCUUAGCAUCUGACCUCGAUUUUCUGCUCUCCUAAACGACUGCUCUUUUCCUCUGACCUCAAACUAGUAAGACUGCUCCGUGAAUGAUGGAUUGGUGCAACACGGUGGCCCAUUUAAAGUUAACUCCUCUACUUUACGGUGCCAGGAGUGGAUAAAAAGUCACACAAGUGUAACUUGUGUGAAUUCAGUGACAUUCCGAGACAUUCAGGAAGUAGCAGAAAUGGCUCUCACCAUCCAGUGGUCGGUAAAAUCUUUAUCCUGUGAUUUAGUUUAUGUACUAUCACAAGUGCCAUGUUUUUGCAGUGUGCAGUAAACAUAUCAUAUCAUAUCACCAACUCAACUUAAAUUGGUGUUAAAUGUGGGCAAAUCCAAGUUCAUGUUAUUCUCAUAUGGCAAAGCCUCCUUAGAUCGAAACCAUCCAAUGGGCUGAAAUUCAAAUGGCUGCAUCUUCUAAGUAUUUAGGUGUCAUAUUAG
Molecule: long non-coding RNA, 517 nt
Organism: Oreochromis niloticus (Nile tilapia)
Lineage: Eukaryota; Metazoa; Chordata; Actinopteri; Cichliformes; Cichlidae
Exons: 3
Source: RefSeq, a predicted model, not a curated record